GGAUGUGAGGGAGAUCUGGCUGCAACAUCUGUCACCCCAUUGAUCAACAGGGUUGAUUCCUCUCAUCUGCCUGGCUAGGGGGGUGUCCCUUCCUCCUGCACUGGCAGUGUGUCACUAACAAAGCUGCGGGCUCUGUUGAAGAGGACGGCCUUCCCGGAACAGAGACGGCUAGGUCUUCGGUUGAGGGCAUAUGAGUAGCUGCUCUCCCUUGCUAGAACCUCCAAUAAAGCUCUCAAAAUGUGUUCAAAAUAUUUUCGGAUUACAAACAGAAUUACUCUUCACUAGCAGACACGCAAAGACAAUACAUUAUAGGAAUUUCGUUGU
Erinaceus europaeus (western European hedgehog) is the source of this 324-nucleotide unclassified non-coding RNA. Its record names the gene 7SK. It matches the Rfam family "7SK RNA". Rfam says of the family: 7SK was discovered as an abundant small nuclear RNA in the mid-70s but a possible function has only recently been suggested. Lineage: Eukaryota; Metazoa; Chordata; Mammalia; Eulipotyphla; Erinaceidae. The record is from Ensembl.